This 279-nucleotide ribosomal RNA is filed under the name uncultured Scutellospora. RNAcentral's name for it is "partial 28S ribosomal RNA". Lineage: Eukaryota; Fungi; Glomeromycota; Glomeromycetes; Diversisporales; Gigasporaceae. The record is from RNAcentral.
UGAGAAUCAACUUUGGGGAAGGGGGAUUUUUUUGAACCUAACUUUGAAGUGCACUUCUUCGCUUGGCAGGUUAGCGUCGAUUUUGAACGUCAUAAAAUGAUUGGGGGAAGGUAGCUCUUUCGGGAGUGUUAUAGCCCUUAAUUAAUGUGAUAUUUGGGAUCGAGGAUUGCAACGGAUACCUUUUUAGGCUAGCCGCCUGGCCUCUGAUUCGAUGUUGGGUUAUAGACAGCACGCUGACUAUGAUCUGAUUAUUGGUCAAAAGGUUAGAGCGAGCAUAAA